Molecule: ribosomal RNA, 428 nt
Filed under: uncultured bacterium
Lineage: Bacteria
Description: partial 16S ribosomal RNA
Rfam family: Bacterial small subunit ribosomal RNA
Source: RNAcentral
GUAGGGAAUAUUGCGCAAUGGGGGAAACCCUGACGCAGCGACGCCGCGUGAGUGAUGAAGGCCUUCGGGUCGUAAAGCUCUGUUGCAGGGGAAUAAAAAAAUGAAGGUACCCUGUGAGGAAGGAUCGGCUAACUUCGUGCCAGCAGCCGCGGUAAGACGAGGGAUCCUAGCGUUGCUCGGAAUCAUUGGGCGUAAAGUGGGCGUAGGUGGCUUGGUAAGUCAGGUGUGAAAGCCCAGGGCUCAACCCUGGAAGUGCAUUUGAUACUGCUGAGCUUGAGUGUCGGAGAGGUUGCCGGAAUACCCGGUGUAGUGGUGAAAUACGUAGAUAUCAGGUGGAACGCCGGAGGCGAAGGCGGGUAACUGGACGAACACUGACACUGAGGCCCGAAAGCGUGGGGAUCAAACAGGAUUAGAAACCCCUGUAGUCC